GCUGUGAGCUCCUUAAGAACCUUGUGCUCACCGGCUUCUCCCACGUCGACCUGAUUGAUCUGGUUACUAUUGAUGUCAGCAACCUCAACAGUUUUUGUUUCAAAAGAAACAUGUUGGAAGAUCAAAGGCACAGGUUGCCAGGGAAAGUGCACUGCAGUUUUACCUGAAAGCUAAUAUGGUUGCCUACCAUGACAGCAUCAUGAACCCUGACUAUAAUGUGGCAUAUUUUUGACAGUUUAUAUUGGUUAUGAAUGCUUUAGAUAACAGAGCUGCCCAAAACCGUGUUAAUAGAGUGUGCCUGGCAGCUGUUGUUCCUCUUAUUGAAAGUGGAACUGCUGGGUAUCUUGGACAAGUAACUACUAUCAAAGAGGGUGUGACCAAGUGUUACGAAUGUCAUCCUAAGCCAACCCAGAGAACCUCUCCUGACUGUACAAUUUGUAACACACCUUCAGAACCUAUACAUUGCAUCUUUUGGGCAAAGUACUUAAGAAGUAUCUCCUGACAGAGCUGACCCUGAAGCUGCCUGGGAACCAACAGAAGCCAAAGCCAGAGCUAGAACAUUCUAAUAAAGAAGGUGACAUUAAACGUAUUUCCACUAAGGAAUGGGCUAAAUCAACUGGAUAUAAUCCAGUUAAACUUUUUACCAAGCUUUUUAAAGAUGACAUCAGGUAUCUGUUGAUAAUGGACAAACUAUGGCGGAAAAGGAAACCUCCAGUUCUGUUGGACUGGGCUGAAGUACAAAGUCAAGGAGAAGAAACGAAUGCAUCAGAUCAACAGAAUGAACCCCAGUUAGGCCUGAAAGACCGGCAGGUUCUAGAUGUAAAAA
RNAcentral lists this long non-coding RNA (826 nucleotides) under Homo sapiens (human). RNAcentral's name for it is "non-protein coding lnc-LMO4-4:1". The record is from RNAcentral. Lineage: Eukaryota; Metazoa; Chordata; Mammalia; Primates; Hominidae.